CCUACGGGAGGCUGCAGUGGGGAAUAUUGCACAAUGGGGGAAACCCUGAUGCAGCGACGCCGCGUGAGUGAAGAAGUAUCUCGGUACGUAAAGCUCUAUCAGCAGGGAAGAAAAUGCCGGUACCUGACUAAGAAGCCCCGGCUAACUACGUGCCAGCAGCCGCGGUAAUACGUAGGGGGCAAGCGUUAUCCGGAUUUACUGGGUGUAAAGGGAGCGUAGACGGCAGCACAAGUCUGGAGUGAAAUCCCGGGGCUUAACCCCGGAACUGCUUUGGAGACUGUUUGACUAGAGUGCUGGAGAGGUAAGUGGAAUUCCUAGUGUAGCGGUGAAAUGCGUAGAUAUUAGGAGGAACACCAGUGGCGAAGGCGGCUUACUGGACAGUAACUGACGUUGAGGCUCGAAAGCGUGGGGAGCAAACAGGAUUAGAUACCCUUGUAGUC
RNAcentral lists this ribosomal RNA (440 nucleotides) under uncultured bacterium. RNAcentral's name for it is "partial 16S ribosomal RNA". It matches the Rfam family "Bacterial small subunit ribosomal RNA", at positions 338 to 795 of the family's 1533-position model. The record is from RNAcentral.